This is a transfer RNA of Camelus ferus (Wild Bactrian camel), 72 nucleotides long. It matches the Rfam family "tRNA". From Rfam's summary of the family: Transfer RNA (tRNA) molecules are approximately 80 nucleotides in length. Lineage: Eukaryota; Metazoa; Chordata; Mammalia; Artiodactyla; Camelidae. The record is from Rfam.
GAGCGUAUGGCUCAGUGGUAGAGUGUGUGCUUAGUAUGCAUGAGGUCCUGGGUUCAAUCCCUAGUACCUCCA